CAACUUUCAACAACGGAUCUCUUGGCUCUCGCAUCGAUGAAGAACGCAGCGAAAUGCGAUAAGUAAUGUGAAUUGCAGAAUUCAGUGAAUCAUCGAAUCUUUGAACGCACCUUGCGCUCCUUGGUAUUCCGAGGAGCAUGCCUGUUUGAGUGUCAUAA
This 158-nucleotide ribosomal RNA is filed under the name Tricholoma pardinum. RNAcentral describes it as "5.8S ribosomal RNA". It matches the Rfam family "5.8S ribosomal RNA". Rfam says of the family: 5.8S ribosomal RNA (5.8S rRNA) is a component of the large subunit of the eukaryotic ribosome. It is transcribed by RNA polymerase I as part of the 45S precursor that also contains 18S and 28S rRNA. The record is from RNAcentral. Lineage: Eukaryota; Fungi; Basidiomycota; Agaricomycetes; Agaricales; Tricholomataceae. RNAcentral also lists the same sequence under 6 other names.